AUGAAGAAAGUGGCAUUGGUUAAAAUUCCACAGCUACACCCGCAAACUUGGACUUCAGAUUUGCUUGAAGGCAAGCUAGGGUCUAACAAAUUUGCUUGUACUGUUCUAUGUGGUUGUUGGGCAAUUUGGUCAGAGAGAAAUGCUAGAAGUCAUGGCGAGAAUGAACGUUCAGUGCAAGCUUCUGUACGGUGGGUGAUGGAAAGCGCCGUUGAUCUAACAAUCGUAGGGAAAGAGUCUAGACCUACAGUGACUAUGCACUCAGUUUUAUGGCAACCACCAGAGAAGGGAACUCUUAAGAUCAAUGUGGACGCUUCAUUCUUUGAGUACACCAGAUGUGGUGGUACAGGCCUGGUGAUCAGAGAUGUAGACAGCGUGUUACUAAGAGCACAGGCUCUUUGGUACCAAUUUGCAACAAAUGCUCAAAUUAUGGAAUUGUAUGCCAUUCGGGAUGGAAUUUAA
This 459-nucleotide ribosomal RNA is filed under the name Triticum aestivum (bread wheat). Its description in RNAcentral is "partial small subunit ribosomal RNA". Lineage: Eukaryota; Viridiplantae; Streptophyta; Magnoliopsida; Poales; Poaceae. The record is from RNAcentral.